UACGAAGGGUGCAAGCGUUACUCGGAAUUACUGGGCGUAAAGGGUGCGUAGGUGGUUGUUUAAGUCUGUCGUGAAAGCCCCGGGCUCAACCUGGGAAUGGCAAUGGAUACUGGACAGCUAGAGUGCGGUAGAGGGUAGUGGAAUUCCCGGUGUAGCAGUGAAAUGCGUAGAGAUCGGGAGGAACACCAGUGGCGAAGGCGGCUACCUGGACCAGCACUGACACUGAAGCACGAAAGCGUGGGGAGCAAACAGG
This 253-nucleotide ribosomal RNA is filed under the name uncultured bacterium. RNAcentral describes it as "partial 16S ribosomal RNA". It matches the Rfam family "Bacterial small subunit ribosomal RNA", at positions 524 to 776 of the family's 1533-position model. The record is from RNAcentral.